This 1026-nucleotide ribosomal RNA is filed under the name uncultured Cryobacterium sp. RNAcentral's name for it is "bacterial SSU rRNA". It matches the Rfam family "Bacterial small subunit ribosomal RNA", at positions 359 to 1382 of the family's 1533-position model. The record is from RNAcentral. Lineage: Bacteria; Bacillati; Actinomycetota; Actinomycetes; Micrococcales; Microbacteriaceae.
GAAUAUUGCACAAUGGGCGCAAGCCUGAUGCAGCAACGCCGCGUGAGGGACGAAGGCCUUCGGGUUGUAAACCUCUUUUAGUAGGGAAGAAGCGACUGGGUUUUCCUGGGAGUGACGGUACCUGCAGAAAAAGCACCGGCUAACUACGUGCCAGCAGCCGCGGUAAUACGUAGGGUGCAAGCGUUGUCCGGAAUUAUUGGGCGUAAAGAGCUCGUAGGCGGUUUGUCGCGUCUGCUGUGAAAACCCGAGGCUCAACCUCGGGCCUGCAGUGGGUACGGGCAGACUAGAGUGCGGUAGGGGAGAUUGGAAUUCCUGGUGUAGCGGUGGAAUGCGCAGAUAUCUGGAGGAACACCAAUGGCGAAGGCAGAUCUCUGGGCCGUAACUGACGCUGAGGAGCGAAAGCAUGGGGAGCGAACAGGAUUAGAUACCCUGGUAGUCCAUGCCGUAAACGUUGGGAACUAUAUGUGGGGACCAUUCCCACUGUCUCCGUGUCGCAGCUAACGCAUUAAGUUCCCCGCCUGGGGAGUACGCCCGCAAGGCUAAAACUCAAAGGAAUUGACGGGGGCCCGCACAAGCGGCGGAGCAUGCGGAUUAAUUCGAUGCAACGCGAAGAACCUUACCAAGGCUUGACAUAUACCGGAAAUGGCUGGAAACAGUCGCCCCGCAAGGUCGGUAUACAGGUGGUGCAUGGUUGUCGUCAGCUCGUGUCGUGAGAUGUUGGGUUAAGUCCCGCAACAAGCGCAACCCUCUUCCUAUGUUGCCAGCACGUAAUGGUGGGAACUCAUGGGAUACUGCCGGGGUCAACUCGGAGGAAGGUGGGGAUGACGUCAAAUCAUCAUGCCCCUUAUGUCUUGCGCUUCACGCAUGCUACAAUGGCCGGUACAAAGGGCUGCGAUACCGCAAGGUGGAGCGAAUCCCAAAAAGCCGGUCUCAGUUCGGAUUGAGGUCUGCAACUCGACCUCAUGAAGUCGGAGUCGCUAGUAAUCGCAGAUCAGCAACGCUGCGGUGAAUACGUUCCCGGGCCUU